Molecule: ribosomal RNA, 429 nt
Filed under: Acidobacteriota bacterium
Lineage: Bacteria; Pseudomonadati; Acidobacteriota
Description: Acidobacteria bacterium partial 16S ribosomal RNA
Rfam family: Bacterial small subunit ribosomal RNA
Source: RNAcentral
UGGGGAAUUUUGGACAAUGGGGGAAACCCUGAUCCAGCCAUCCCGCGUGUGCGAUGAAGGCCUUCGGGUUGUAAAGCACUUUUGGCAGGAAAGAAACGUCAUGGGUUAAUACCCCGUGAAACUGACGGUACCUGCAGAAUAAGCACCGGCUAACUACGUGCCAGCAGCCGCGGUAAUACGUAGGGUUCAAGCGUUAAUCGGAAUUACUGGGCGUAAAGCGUGCGCAGGCGGUUCGGAAAGAAAGAUGUGAAAUCCCAGAGCUCAACUUUGGAACUGCAUUUUUAACUACCGGGCUAGAGUGUGUCAGAGGGAGGUGGAAUUCCGCGUGUAGCAGUGAAAUGCGUAGAUAUGCGGAGGAACACCGAUGGCGAAGGCAGCCUCCUGGGAUAACACUGACGCUCAUGCACGAAAGCGUGGGGAGCAAACAGG